RNAcentral lists this transfer RNA (72 nucleotides) under Loxodonta africana (African savanna elephant). It matches the Rfam family "tRNA". Rfam says of the family: Transfer RNA (tRNA) molecules are approximately 80 nucleotides in length. Their secondary structure includes four short double-helical elements and three loops (D, anti-codon, and T loops). Lineage: Eukaryota; Metazoa; Chordata; Mammalia; Proboscidea; Elephantidae. The record is from Rfam by way of RNAcentral.
CCCUGAAUGAUAUAAGCAGUUAAUAUGUUUGGCUGCUAACCAAAAGGUUGGAGGUUCGAGUCCUCCCAGAGA